RNAcentral lists this ribosomal RNA (433 nucleotides) under uncultured bacterium. RNAcentral describes it as "partial 16S ribosomal RNA". It matches the Rfam family "Bacterial small subunit ribosomal RNA", at positions 29 to 507 of the family's 1533-position model. The record is from RNAcentral.
AACGAACGCUGGCGGCAUGCUUAACACAUGCAAGUCGAACGAGACCUUCGGGUCUAGUUGCGCACGUGUGCGUAACACGUGGGAACCUGCCCUUAGGUUCGGAAUAACUCCCCGAAAGGGGUGCUAAUACCGGUUAAUGUCUUCGGACCUAAGAUUUACCGCCUUUGGGUGGGCCCGCGUUGGAUUAGCUCGUUGGUAUGGUAAAAGCCUACCAAGGCGCCGAUCCAUAGCUGGUCUGAGAGGAUGAUCAGGCCCGCUGGGACUGAGACACGGCCCAGUCUCGUACGGGCGGCAGCAGAGGGUAAUAUUGGACAAUGGGCCAAAGGCUGAUCCAGCACUGCCGCGUGAGUGGUGAAGGCCUUAGGAUUGUCAUGCUCUUUUACACGGAGUGGUAUUGACAGUACCGGGAGAAUAAGCUCCGGCUAACUCCGUG